Oncorhynchus keta (chum salmon) is the source of this 817-nucleotide long non-coding RNA. RefSeq lists it as uncharacterized. NCBI's taxonomy places the organism in Eukaryota, Metazoa, Chordata, Actinopteri, Salmoniformes, Salmonidae. The record is from RefSeq and is a predicted model, not a curated record. The transcript has 10 exons.
GUAAAGUGGUAUAACAGUACACCAUUAUACUUCCGUUAUACAUUCUAUUGUAUUCAUCUAUUUUAAAUAGGAGAGAGUUGGAAAAGAGAUCACUAAGAAGAUAGAUGAGUUUUUACAAACAGGAACACUCAAGAAGUUGGAAAAGAUUCGUAAUGAUGACACCAGCUCAUCCAUCAACUUCCUUACCAGAUUUACUGGUAUUGGUCCGGCUCCUGCCAGAAAGUGAAGACCCUGGAAGAUCUGAAGAAAAUUUAACACAUGCUCAAUCAUCAGUACUUUGAGGAGUUUGAGAAGAGGAUUCCACGAGUUGAGAUGAUUGUGGCGGACAUUCAUUUUGCAGGAGCUGGAGUUGCUGGAUGCUGAGUACAUCAGGACCAUCUGUGGAAGCUACAGGAGAAGUGCUGAAUCCAGUGGGGAUAUUGAGAUCUUGCUGACGCACCCAAACUACACCUCUAUGGAUGAGAAACAGGUGACCACCAAACUCCACAAUGCCUACUGCUGCUUUGGUACUGUAAUGAUUAAUAUACACUAAGCCCAAACUUCUCCAUGCUGUGGUUGAACAUUUUGAGUCCAUUGUGUUCAUUACAGACACACUGUCCAAAAAAUACACCAAAUUCAUGGGAGUCUGCCAGCUGCAGCAAAAUGAUGAAGAGGAAUAUCUUCACAGGCACAUUGAUAUCAGGUUAAUUCCUAAGGGCCUGUAUUACUGUGGUGUGCUGUAUUUCACUGUCAGUGACAUCUUCAAUAAGAACAUGAGAACUCCCGCUCUGGAGAAAGGCUUCACCCUCAAUGAGUACACCAUCUAGCCAGUGAAGGU